GACGAACGCUGGCGGCGUGCCUAAUACAUGCAAGUCGAACGCUUUUUCUUUCACCGGAGCUUGCUCCACCGAAAGAAAAAGAGUGGCGAACGGGUGAGUAACACGUGGGUAACCUGCCCAUCAGAAGAGGAUAACACUUGGAAACAGGUGCUAAUACCGUAUAACAAGUAAAACCGCAUGGUUUUACUUUGAAAGGCGCUUUUGCGUCACUGAUGGAUGGACCCGCGGUGCAUUAGCUAGUUGGUGAGGUAACGGCUCACCAAGGCAACGAUGCAUAGCCGACCUGAGAGGGUGAUCGGCCACAUUGGGACUGAGACACGGCCCAAACUCCUACGGGAGGCAGCAGUAGGGAAUCUUCGGCAAUGGACGAAAGUCUGACCGAGCAACGCCGCGUGAGUGAAGAAGGUUUUAGGAUCGUAAAACUCUGUUGUUAGAGAAGAACAAGGAUGAGAGUAAAAUGUUCAUCCCUUGACGGUAUCUAACCAGAAAGCCACGGCUAACUACGUGCCAGCAGCCGCGGUAAUACGUAGGUGGCAAGCGUUGUCCGGAUUUAUUGGGCGUAAAGCGAGCGCAGGCGGUUUCUUAAGUCUGAUGUGAAAGCCCCCGGCUCAACCGGGGAGGGUCAUUGGAAACUGGGAAACUUGAGUGCAGAAGAGGAGAGUGGAAUUCCAUGUGUAGCGGUGAAAUGCGUAGAUAUAUGGAGGAACACCAGUGGCGAAGGCGGCUCUCUGGUCCGUAACUGACGCUGAGGCUCGAAAGCGUGGGGAGCAAACAGG
RNAcentral lists this ribosomal RNA (776 nucleotides) under uncultured Enterococcaceae bacterium. RNAcentral's name for it is "bacterial SSU rRNA". It matches the Rfam family "Bacterial small subunit ribosomal RNA", at positions 28 to 776 of the family's 1533-position model. The record is from RNAcentral. Lineage: Bacteria; Bacillati; Bacillota; Bacilli; Lactobacillales; Enterococcaceae.